Molecule: long non-coding RNA, 460 nt
Filed under: Mus musculus (house mouse)
Lineage: Eukaryota; Metazoa; Chordata; Mammalia; Rodentia; Muridae
Description: growth arrest specific 5, transcript variant 2 (Gas5)
Source: RNAcentral
CUUUCGGAGCUGUGCGGCAUUCUGAGCAGGAAUGGCAGUGUGGACCUCUGUGAUGGGACAUCUUGUGGGAUCUCACAGCCAGUUCUGUGGCAAAGGAGGAUGAAGGCUUACGAGGACUCGUCAGGAAGCUGGAUAACAGAGCGAGCGCAAUGUGCUAGAAUAGAAGACCAGAAAAUGAAAUGGUGGAGUUUGAGGCUGGAUAGACAGUUUGAAAGGUACAAAUAAUGGUUUGAAUAAAGAAAGGUAUUAAUGGGUCACCUCAAGUGAAGGCACUGCAAACACAAUGAUUGGUCAUUCUGAAUUUCCGGUCCUUCAUUCUGAAUUUCAAAGGCUCCUGUGACAAGUGGACAUGCAGUGACUGCACCUUUGUUUCUGAGGUGCCUGGAUGGAGGCUCAAAUAGAAGAUGGUGUCAGAUAUAUUGUGUUAAAAUUUUACCAUUAAAGUGUAUUAUAACAUGAA